CCAGACUCCUACGGGAGGCAGCAGUGGGGGAUAUUGCACAAUGGGGGGAACCCUGAUGCAGCGACGCCGCGUGGGUGAAGAAGCGCCUCGGCGCGUAAAGCCCUGUCAGCAGGGAAGAAAAUGACGGUACCUGAAGGAGAAGCCCCGGCUAACUACGUGCCAGCAGCCGCGGUAAUACGUAGGGGGCAAGCGUUAUCCGGAUUUACUGGGUGUAAAGGGCGUGUAGCCGGGCUGACAAGUCAGAUGUGAAAUUCCGGGGCUCAACCCCGGACCUGCAUUUGAAACUGUUGGUCUUGAGUAUCGGAGAGGCAGGCGGAAUUCCUAGUGUAGCGGUGAAAUGCGUAGAUAUUAGGAGGAACACCAGUGGCGAAGGCGGCCUGCUGGACGACAACUGACGGUGAGGCGCGAAAGCGUGGGGAGCAAACAGGAUUAGAUACCCGUGAAGC
This 446-nucleotide ribosomal RNA is filed under the name uncultured bacterium. RNAcentral describes it as "bacterial SSU rRNA". It matches the Rfam family "Bacterial small subunit ribosomal RNA", at positions 331 to 794 of the family's 1533-position model. The record is from RNAcentral.